RNAcentral lists this long non-coding RNA (1063 nucleotides) under Homo sapiens (human). RNAcentral describes it as "HSALNT0311661". The record is from RNAcentral. Lineage: Eukaryota; Metazoa; Chordata; Mammalia; Primates; Hominidae.
GCAAAAUAAACCUCGGCUAUUGUUUCAAGCCAUUGUUUUGGGAUGGCUUUUUAGUGCAGCACUAGAUGCUGCUGUCUCUUGGGGCCUGCACCUCGGCAGAGGCUGAUUCCAGCUUGCAGUUCUCCGCCACUUGCAGGUUGCCCUGGAGUUUGCAGUAUGCAUUUACAACUAAUCCAAGUCCACUUUGAAAUAAUUCUAUACUGCUUCAAGGUCAUGGAGGACAUUCAGGACUUGAGCACUUACCAAAUCACCUUUGAAGUGGAGCCCUGUGUGUGCUGAGACCACUAGGACCCUGGAACGGGUGCCCGUCACUCACAGAGCCUGUCAGCUUCAGAGGCUGGAAAUGGAAAUCCCAGGCCUACUUGUACACAGGAAUCUCCUGGAGCGAGGAUGUCCUCUUUUCUGAUACCCGCAGAACUGGCAUUUAAGGGGAUGCCUGUGCAGUAUAGCGAAGGAUAGAGCCUCAGAAAUAGCCCUUCUGGAUCAAUCACGUCUCUAGUUUCUAUAAAUGGAAGCUUAACAUCUGCUCUGCAUGUGUAUGCCAGAUCCACCUUGUUCUGGACAACCCUGUGACAUGCCUGAGUCACCCAGCCUUGGCCCUUCCCUGCUCACUGCCUCCUCUCCCUCCUUCGAGAGAAGUCAUCCUCCCAGGAAUGUGCUUUUCAAAUACAAACCAACCAAUCCAGAGUCCACACACCGUACUAACUGGGCUCUCAUGAUCCAGGCCACUGUCCUCCUGCCCUAAUCACCUCAGGGCCAGGUACCAGACAACCAAGGACAGCACCUGUGCCCCAGAGCCUGCGGAGAUUACCUACUCACCCUGCCUCGCCCAUUCCUUCCUGCAGAAAACACAACUCAGACUCUUGCCCACAGUUCCCCAGCCCCUCUUGUGACUGACCCUGGUGCCUCCCCAUGUGACCCCACCAUGGCAUCAUGGGGGCUCCCUCUCUUGGGACCUGUUGGCAUGAUAAGCUAUGUUUCCAAUAGCAGUCAUCUCCUCAUCUCGGCCUCAUCACACCUAAAGAAUAAUAAAACCCGUUGAAACACCUUCAACUCAACAGGA